Bos taurus (domestic cattle) is the source of this 4467-nucleotide long non-coding RNA. NCBI's taxonomy places the organism in Eukaryota, Metazoa, Chordata, Mammalia, Artiodactyla, Bovidae. The record is from Ensembl.
GGUGCUGGAGAAGACUCUGAAGAGUCCCUUGGAAGCAAGAUCAAACCAGUAAAUCCCAAAGGAAAUCAACUCUGAACAUACAUUGGAAGGACUGAUGCGGAAGCUGAAGCUCCAAUACUUUGGCCACUUGAUGUGAAGAGCCGACUUAUUGGAAAAGACCCUCAUGCUGUGACAGAUUGAAGGUAGGAGGAGAAGGGGAUGACAGAGGAUGAGACAGUUGGAUGGCAUCGUUGACUCAACGGACAUGAGUUAGAGCAAACUCCAGGAGAUAGCGAAGGACAGGGAAGCCUGGCGUGCUGCAGUCCGUGGGGUAGUAAAGAGUCGGAUACAAUUAGGUGACUGAACAACAACAACCUUUGAGGGGCCGCUAUUCAGUCCACUGUUCCACCCAUCUUUUUCCCUGCACCCCUUAACAUUUUAUCUGUUGAGACACCCAGGCUGUCUGACCUGUAGCAGUCCCUACAGGCUGGACUUUGCUGGCUGUGCACUCCAGACCCAGUGCUGCUGCAUGGCCCUCUGUGCUGGGAAUUUCCUGCAAACUGGCAGUGGGAUCCAGGGGCUGGAUUGGGCUCAGGCCCUAUCCCCUUGGUCUCGUGGGCUUGCAUCAGGACCACAGACCCCUUCGCGGCCGGUGGUCUCUCUUUGUGCUAUCAGUAUCACUGGCGUUCAGUGCCCAGAUCCACUCACUCACCAUCGCACUGCAGCACGUGACGCUCCAGUCCUGUCCCCUGCAGCUGACUCUAUUAGUUGGAAUACUUUCCUCAAGAGAUGCUUUCUGUUGCAUAUGGUUUGUCACCAGUGGAGCAGGGAGGCAGAAUGACGGCCCGACUCCUUCCCUUUACCACUUUUCUGGCUAAGAACCCAGUUCAUAUCAUCCCCUGAAGGAGAUCCACUAGUUUUUAAAACACAUGUCCUAUCUCUCUCUUAGAUGUUUUCAUUUUAAACAAAGGGUUUGAGAGCCCGUGUCCUAUUUAAAUGAACUAUUUUGUAAAUGAAUGUUUAUAUUUAUUUGGCUGUACUUGGUCUUAGUUGCAGCACGUGAGAUCUUCAGUCUUUGCUGUGGCAUACAGGAUCUUGAGUUGCAGCAUGUGGGAUCUAGUUCCCUGACCAGGGAUUGAACCCAGGCCCUCUGCAUUGGGAGCUCAGAGUCUUAGUCACUGGACCACCAGUGUGCGUGUAUGCUCUCCUCCUUACCGUCUCUGGCCACAUCAGUGCCAUGUAGCCUCCCCGCCUCAGGGGGACUCCCUUCUCUGCGCAGAAGCCCCCUAUCUCCUUUCCGAGAUUCCAGGAGUCUCUGCCCCUGCCCCAGUCUGCUCAGGGGAAGCAGGCUCCUGGUGACCUGUUUUGGGUGGCCUCCCAAGCAUCUAUGAGUGAUGCUGUGUAGGUCUGGCCACCUACCCCGGCCCUGCCACCUCUGUUGGAUAAGAACAGCUAGUCCUUCCAGAACACUGCUGUGCACCAGGUACCAUCCUAGGCACUUAACUAGUCUCACCACACAGCUAGACUAGGAGGCUGGCGCUGUCAUCACGCAUUUUCUAGAAGAUGAGACUUUGGCUCAGGGCCACCUUGGGAGUGGGAGGAAGAGCCAGGACCCACCCACUGACCGCUGAGCUCCUGAGUUGGCCAGAAAACAGCCCAACUAAGACCAAUCCCUCAGCAUCCUUUGGGGAAGGAGCCAGAACCUGCAUAAGGAGUCAACAAUGCAAGAAGGGACUCACUGCCUUGGGAGCAGUAGUUCUGGAGCUCCGGCCAGCAUCAGAGUCACAGGAGAGUGUGAUAAAGCACAGACCACCAGGUCGACCCCAGAGUCCCUCACUCAGUAGGGCUAGGGAGGGCUGAGAACCUGCAUUUCUAAUGAGUUCUCCUCCAGGGAUGCUGAUGCUGCAGGUCUGAGGAUCCCCUUUUGGAAUCAGCUGCUUUAGUGAACUUGCCUGCCUGCUGUGGAAGAACAGGGGCCAGGCUCCCUCCUGGGGCACAUGGCGUGGUGGUUCCAAGACAAACUUUCCCAUCUAGGUGAUCCUGUGAUAACGUGUGCGUGUGCAUGUUCGCAGUUGCUCAGUCAUGUCUCACUCUUUGUGAUCCCAUGGACUGUAGCCCACCAGGCUCCUCUGUCCAUGGGAUUUCUCAGGCAAGCAUACUAGAGUGGGUUGCCAUUUCCUUCUCCAGGGGAUCUUUCCAAUCCAGGGAUCAGACUCGCAUCUCCUGCAUUGGCAGGCAGAUUCUUUACCAGAGAGCCAUCUGGGAAGCCCCAAUAAUAACCUUAUGAUUAUGCUAAAAAAAAAAAAAAAAAAACAACCCUUCAUCUGUUAGAGAUGCAUUCUGAGGGAUUCAUAGGUAUUGUAUAUCUCUGGGAUUCACUUUAAAAUACUCCAGACUCUACCUCUGCAAAAGGUUGAAAGUCUAAAUGAAGCAACGGUAGCUGGCUGAUGAGUCCAGAGGGGUUCAUUCUACCACUUUCUAUACCUUGUUUAUAUGUGAAAGUGUUAUUCAUAAGCCUUGUUGAUUUCAGGUAGAGGAAAAGCUCUGGCUCCCCACUUACAACUGACCUUGAGCUAGAAACUUGCAGUAUCUGAGCCUCAAUUCUUUUUGCUGUCAAUGCAGCUGAUGGCAUCUUUCCAACUGGGUUAUCGAGGACAUCAUGGAUAAGAGCUGUUAGCAUUCACCUUGGCACGUGACCCAUGAGACUUUAAUUCCCCCGAUGUACUCUCACACAUUCUCCAGCCCGACUUGCCCAGGGCAGCACCUAAUGGGCAGGGGACUCACCCAUCUCAAGACACCUGUUCAACAAGUUCCUGGGAUGAGUGUGAAACUUUCCAGAAGCUGUCCAUCUGCGAGCAGGCAGCGUGGGUGUGGAAUGUGGGGUGGGGAGGCCAUGGGUGUGUUCUCAGGAUGUGAGGCUUCUGGGCAGUCACAGGCAUGUUGGCCGCUUGGACGCCUUGCUAUUGACCCCACAAUACAGCUCUGACUUGCCGUGGCGGGGGGCGUGGGCAGGGGGGUUCUUUAUGGAGCCACCAGGUCGGUCGCAGGAGAUCCCUGGUUUCCAGUUCAGAGGUGGUUCCAGUGGAUUCCAUGGGGCCUUCAGCUUGCCAACCCGUCUCCAGUCAAGCAGUGCUGUGGUUGGUGUUCUGUAUUGUUUUGGCUUUGAUUACAAAAAAUAAAACCCCGUUUGUGCUAGCCCAGGGCAAAGUUGGGGCAGCCAGUGACUGGGAAACCUGGAGCUGUUUCCUUGAACCUCAAUGCAGGGAGGGCGGCCAAGUCUCAUAUCGGUUGGCACAAACUGAAAACCUGUCAAGAACGUAUUGGCUUCACUCUCUCCUUCCCUCUCCUCUUCCUGCUCCUCCUCUCUCUCUGGGUCUCCCUCCCGUCCCUCUUCCUCAUGGACAGGAUAGGAAACGGCCUCCACAAAGCACAAGUCCUACUCCUCUGUCUGUACCACUAGGGCUGGCUGAAGUUUGCCCAGCAUUUUCUGUGUGCCAGGUCUUGGGCAAAAGACUUCACCACCUGGGUUUCACGUAAUCACACAGCAGCCAUAGAAGAAGAUACUGCUUUCAUCCUUCCAACUUCCAGAGAUGAAACUGAAGUACUGAGAAGCUCAAGAAGUUACCUGAGACCAUGUUGUACAUUCAAGAGCAUCUUCUUGGGGGGAGGAAUUUGAUUGGCUCAGCUUGAGUCAGGUGACCUGUUUCUCCACCAAUCAGCUAUGGUGAAGGAGGCGGGUCUCAGAGCAUCAACGUGGCAACCUCCAGGCCCAGCAUUAGAGAACUCUUCUCAGAUGGGGUGGUGAGCCUGGCACCUGAUCCCACUCUGUUCCUUUCCUCCUUCCUGAGUAGCCUCCCAUGGACACAGAUCCCUGCAACAUUUGUCUUCUGAAGUCAGAUGGGGCUGGAGUUCAAAUCCUGCCUCUGCCAUUUUCCUGAUGGUCUACUCUUGCGCAAAUGACUUAACCUGCCUGAGCCUCAGUGUUGUCAUCUGUAAAUGGGGUUCAUAAGACUGGCUUCUCAGAGACACGUGUGUGCACAGUCACUUCAGGCGUGUUCAACUCUUUGCGAACCCAAAGGACUAUAGCUCGCCAGGCUCCUCUGUCCAUGGGGUUUUUUAGGCAAGAAUACUGGAGUGGGUUGCCAUUUCCUCUUCAAAGGCAUCUUCCCAACCCAGUAGUUGAACCUGUGUCUCCUGUGUGUCCUGUGUUGACAGGCAGAUUCUUUUACACUGAGCUACCUGGGAAGCCCUUCUCAGAGACAUGGGAGAAGCAAAUGAGACCAUAACCCACGUAAACCCUCCAGUGGCUUCCCAUUGUUUUCAUGUUCAAGUUGAAAUUCAGGGUGUAAACUGGCUGGCACCUGCUUAACAACCUACCCUGUAUCUUCCCAGUGCCAGAGUACGCCUAAUUCAGCGGUGCCUCUGCCUGAAUGCCUUCCCUCUUCUUCCCAAUCGACGUUAGCAGACAUGACCCCAAGUGGGCUGAAC